Lates calcarifer (barramundi perch) is the source of this 248-nucleotide long non-coding RNA. RefSeq lists it as uncharacterized. The record is from RefSeq and is a predicted model, not a curated record. The transcript is spliced from 3 exons. NCBI's taxonomy places the organism in Eukaryota, Metazoa, Chordata, Actinopteri, Centropomidae.
UUUGUUUUGUGAAGUUUGAGGUUUUUGUUUUGGAAGGUUUGAGGUUUGUUUUGUGAGGUUGGAGGUUUUAGUUUUGUGAGGUUUGAGGUUUUUGUGUUGUGAGGUUUUUGUUUUAUAAAGGUUUGAGGUUUUUGUUUUGUAAGGUUUUUGGUUAUAAGUUUUAUGUGACAUAAGUGUGAAGUCAAGUAAUGUCACAUUAAGUCAAGCUAAGUCAGGUUGUCUUGGGGAGAAUACAAUUUGAAACAGCA